UUUACAUCAAUCAACACUAUUAGAUUGACGAACUCAAGAAAAUAGGAAAGAAAUUGGUCAUGAUGAAAAGCAAUUGCACCUCUUAAAACCGUUAGGGUUUCCCUCUCCUUCAUGAGAGUCUCUCCAUUAGGGAGAGUCUUCCCUGGCCAUGGAGGCCGUGAGCCUCAAGGCUUUCUUCUUUGGCGUCUACCUUGGAGGCCUGUGUCAGUGGGCAUGCAUGUGUUGGGUGUUUGUGUUAAUAAGGAUGAGAGGGUGGGUCAAUGCACGAAGGAGUUGGAGUAUGGCUUAGGGUUGCUUCUCUGGCGGCAAGGGCAUUGCAGAUUGUGAGUGUUUUCACUGAGAUAUAUAUUGACUUUGGCCUCAAAUCUGCAACGACUCUUCAAGGAAAAAGCUAUGAUCUAAUGGUAGGGAAGCAGAUGAUUGGAGCAAAGUAGAAUGAUCCUUUGAUAGGGCCAAUUUUUUGGGUUUUGAUUAAGAGCUGAGGAUGGAAAGGCAUGGAUCUGCAUCAAAUGUCAGGAAAUUGAGGGCUAAAUCAAUGAUGAUGUGCUUGGUGCAUUCAAACAUUCCAAAAUUUUCAAUGGUAGCUAUGUUUCAAUAUGGAUGGCAGAGAUUUAGGAAUGGUCAAAUCUAAACAACUUUUUUCAAAAUUCACUCGACUAGGUUUAGUACAAUCUUUCUAUAUCUAUUUUUACUCUUUUGUUGAAUGCCCUGUUUUGGUAUAACUAUUUGGCAUAUUUAGGUGCUACUGCAUUGGUAUCACCCCUAGCUUUGUUUUGGGAUUGGUGGAAAUGAGGGGUGCUUUAGAAAACUUAUUACUGGUUGUUGGGUGUUUGGUUGUAUCUGCCAUUAAAUCUAUCUUUUGGGAGUUUGCUUGGACUGAUUGCCUCUCCAUUUACUUUAGAAAGAUUACUCAAAUGAUUGUUAAGAAUAAGAGAUGGGUUCGACCGAGUGCUUUGAUUGGCGUCUCUAGUUUAUUAUUA
Prosopis cineraria is the source of this 980-nucleotide long non-coding RNA. RefSeq lists it as uncharacterized. The record is from RefSeq and is a predicted model, not a curated record. NCBI's taxonomy places the organism in Eukaryota, Viridiplantae, Streptophyta, Magnoliopsida, Fabales, Fabaceae. The transcript is spliced from 2 exons.